Molecule: ribosomal RNA, 242 nt
Filed under: Staphylococcus saprophyticus subsp. saprophyticus ATCC 15305 = NCTC 7292
Lineage: Bacteria; Bacillati; Bacillota; Bacilli; Caryophanales; Staphylococcaceae
Description: partial 16S ribosomal RNA
Rfam family: Bacterial small subunit ribosomal RNA
Source: RNAcentral
AUCUCUGGGUUACGUCCCGCAACGAGAGCGACCCUUAAGCUUAGUUGCCAUCAUUAAGUUGGGCACUCUAGGUUGACUGCCGGUGACAAACCGGAGGAAGGUGGGGAUGACGUCAAAUCAUCAUGCCCCUUAUGAUUUGGGCUUCACACGUGCUACAAUGGACAAUACAAAGGGCAGCUAAACCGCGAGGUCAUGCAAAUCCCAUAUUUUUGUUCUCAGUUCGGAUUGUAGUCUGCAACUCG